RNAcentral lists this small RNA (1902 nucleotides) under Arabidopsis thaliana (thale cress). RNAcentral describes it as "ATSL269400". Lineage: Eukaryota; Viridiplantae; Streptophyta; Magnoliopsida; Brassicales; Brassicaceae. The record is from RNAcentral.
UAUAGACUUUAGCUAUACCAUCAAAGCCUUGAGUAGCAAGAAGAAGCUUGGUUAGUGUUUUGGAGUCAAAUAUUACUAGAUGUCAUGUGUAUGAGUGAGUAUGACAACUAGAACCAUAACCGGAUCUUAAAAACCUAAGUAUUGAAUCUUUGUUAGAAGAUACAAAGAAAAAGACUCUUACGGACUUCGACUACACUAUCAAAGCUUUGAGAAGCAAGAAGAAGCUUGGUUAGUGUUUUGGAUUCGAAUAUGACUUGAUGUCAUGUGUAUGACUCAGUAUAAACACUAGAACCGCAACGGAUCUUAAAAGCAUAAGUAUUGUAUCAUUGUUAGAAGAUACAAUGACGAAGACUCAUACGGACUUCGACUACACCAUCAAAGCUUUGAGAAGCAAGAAGCAGUUGGUUAGUGUUUUGGAGUCGAAUAUGACUUGAUGGCAUGUGUAUGAGUGAGUAUAAAAACUAGAACCGCAACGGAUCUUAAAAGCCUAAAUAUUGUAUCCUUGUUAGAAGAUACAUAGACAAAGUCUCAUACGGAAUUCGGCUAAACCAUCAAAGCUUUUAGAAGCAAGAAGAAGCUUGGUUAGUGUUUUGGAGUGAAAUCUAACUAGAUGUCAUGUGUAUGAGUGAGUAUACCAACUAGAACCACAAUUAGAAUUUUAAAAGCCUAAGUAUUAUAUCCUUUUUAGAAGAUACAAAGACAAACACUCAUACGGACUUUGGUUACACCAUCAAAGCGUUGAGAAGCAAGAAGAAGCUUGGUUAGUGUUUUGGAGUCGAAUAUGACUUGAUGUGAUGUGUAUGAUUGAGUAUAAGAAAUUAAACCGCAACCGGAUCUUAAAAGCCUAGGUAUUGUUUCCUUGUUAGAAGAAACAAAGGCAAAGCCUCAUACAAACUUUAGCUUUACCAUCAAAGCCUUGCGAAGAAAGAAGAAGCUUGGUUAGUGUUUUGGAGUCAAAUAUUACUAGAUGUCAUGUGUAUGAGUGAGUAUGACAACUAGAACCAUAACCGGAUCUUAAAAACCUAAGUAUUGAAUCUUUGUUAGAAGAUACAAAGACAAAGACUCAUACGGACUUCGACUACACUAUCAAAGCUUUGAGAAGCAAGAAGAAGCUUGGUUAGUGUUUUGGAUUCGAAUAUGACUUGAUGUCUUGUGUAUGACUCAGUAUAAACACUAGAACCGCAACGGAUCUUAAAAGCAUAAGUAUUGUAUCAUUGUUAGAAGAUACAAUGACGAAGACUCAUACGGACUUCGACUACACCAUCAAAGCUUUGAGAACCAAGAAGCAGUUGGUUAGUGUUUUGGAGUCGAAUAUGACUUGAUGUCAUGUGUAUGAGUGAGUAUAAAAACUAGAACCGCAACGGAUCUUAAAAGCCUAAAUAUUGUAUCCUUGUUAGAAGAUACAUAGACAAAGUCUCAUACGGAAUUCGGCUAAACCAUCAAAGCUUUUAGAAGCAAGAAGAAGCCUUGUUAGUGUUUUGGAGUGAAAUCUAACUAGAUGUCAUGUGUAUGAGUGAGUAUACCAACUAGAACCACAAUUGGAAUUUUAAAAGCCUAAGUAUUGUAUCCUUGUUAAAAGAUACAAAGACAAACACUCAUACGGACAUUGGCUACACCAUCAAAGCUUUGAGAAGCAAGAAGAAGCUUGGUUAGUGUUUUGGAGUCGAAUAUGUUUUGAUGUGAUGUGUAUGAUUGAGUAUAAGAAAUUAAACUGCAACCGGAUCUUAAAAGCCUAAGUAGUGUUUCCGUGUUAGAAGAUACAAAGGCAAAGCCUCAUAAGGACUUGAGCUAUACCAUCAAAGCCUUGAGAAGCAAGAAGAAGCUUGGUUAGUGUUUUGGAGUCAAAUAUUACUAGAUGUCAUGUGUAUGUGUGAAUAUGACAACUAGAACCAUAACCAGAUU